CCUACGGGAGGCAGCAGUGGGGAAUCUUGGGCAAUGGGCGAAAGCCUGACCCAGCGACGCCGCGUGAGGGAAGAAGGCCUUCGGGUUGUAAACCUCUUUCAGCAGGGAAGAAGCGAAAGUGACGGUACCUGCAGAAGAAGCGCCGGCUAACUACGUGCCAGCAGCCGCGGUAAU
Molecule: ribosomal RNA, 174 nt
Filed under: uncultured bacterium
Lineage: Bacteria
Description: partial 16S ribosomal RNA
Rfam family: Bacterial small subunit ribosomal RNA
Source: RNAcentral